This is a long non-coding RNA of Gasterosteus aculeatus aculeatus (three-spined stickleback), 9212 nucleotides long. Lineage: Eukaryota; Metazoa; Chordata; Actinopteri; Perciformes; Gasterosteidae. The record is from Ensembl.
UCUCUGUAGUGACCAGCAGGGGGCGACUCCUCUGCUCCCAUAGACGUCUAUGAGGAAAUGACUCUACUUCUCUGUAGUGACCAGCAGGGGGCGACUCCUCUGCUCCCAUAGACGUCUAUGAGGAAAUGACUCUACUUCUCUCUGGAUUUAUUCCCAUAGUAAACAUUGUAAACAUGAGUUUAUGGUCUCAGUCUGAUGUUCAUUUAGUGAAUUAUGGUCCAUUUAGAGUCAAACAGACCAUAAAGCAGGGGACGCUUUAGGGCGAGGCUUCCUGUGAUUGACAGUUCCUUCCCAGAUAUCUUUGGUCACUUCCUGUCCACUGGUUGCAGCCAAUAUGGCGACCUGGAGGCGUCGAGCUCUAGCAAGUGAUCUCAGCAUCAUUUGAGGAAGGCUGAAGACACAAAGACGCACACGUCCCACGAACCGGUGCACGUUGUGUUUGUGAGGUCGCGCGACGGCACCAGAGCGCCAGGAUCUACGGCUGAUGGAGAACCAGCUGCUGAGGGGCGGAUGGGAUCCAUCGGCCCUUUUUCCUUCCCAUGAGAAAGGAGGCUCGGACGUGAACACACGCAGCCCGGUUCGUCUGACUGGGAGGACCGGGAGGAGAGCAGUGCAUCCUGGGAGUUGAAGCGAGCUGCUCCCUUCGCUUUCUGACAAUGUCACAGUUCUACAAAAUAAAUAUUCCCUCAGGCCUUGGGAAUCAUUUAGAUGAUUCUGAACACACACAAGGUGAAAACACAUCCGGCUCGCCAUUCACAACAUUUUCAUGGUCUUUCUUUUUUUACUAAACAGAGUGAUUAGUCUCAGCGAGAGAAAAGAAAAUUACUGAUUUGUUCCCUCAAAUGAAUCAUCUCAACCUUUAAUUUCCUCCCCUGAUGUAAUAUCUGCAGUGCUCUGUAAUUACAUGUCAUCAAGUUACUGUAGAGGUUGGAGCUGAAUUUAAAAGGUUGCUGCUCUGCUACGUCGGGGAGACACGAAGGGACAAAUGAACACUGGUGCUGUCACCUGGUCACCUGGUCACCGGGUCACCUGGUCACCUGGUACAGAACCAAGUCCAUCUACAGCGAGAUGAUGCUGCUGUGAACAUGGAUUCACUAGGUGAGACUUUAUUGGACGUGAUCAUUGUGGUGUUGUUUUUUUACAAAAGCAGUGGACAGGAAGUGACCAAAUAAGGACUGAGGAGGACGUUGGUAGAGACCUGUCAAUCAGUGUGUAGCCCCGCCUCUGAAGCAUCGUGUGGUCUGUUUGGCUCUAAAUGGACCAUAAGCUGCUAAAUGUCAUCGACACACAACAGUGUCAACAGGAUUAUAAUUACUGUCAUUAUUAUUAUGGAGGUAGUCGACAGUUAUUGGGUGAAAAAGAUGUUGAAACGGACAAAGCAGAAUAGAUGAGUGAAUAAAUCAAGCUGGACGCGAUGAUCAUUUAUCCGCCGCCUUAAAUGACUUUCAUGUUGAUGGUUUAGUAUUUAAUGGGAUGCAAGUGGUUUCCAGAUAGAUUAUCUUUGUGUUUUCUGGGUCAUGCACUCAUUUAACAGCAUUAACACCGGCACAUAAGGAAUGAGUUAUUAUUCAGCCAGCUACGGACACUAAACAAAGGGUUGUACGCCGAUCAACCUCCUCGCUGUAAACGGAGGUAUUAUCUAAAGGAGACAUUCGGAGCCUCGUAUGACAAUUAGGGGACAUUCAAGAAAGAAAUUGCAGAUGAUGGUAACGUUUAUUUAUCGACGUGGGGACGACUGAAUGCAAUUUACUACUUUAUCAUUUUAAAUGGAUUCUACAGUGCAGAUGCAUGUAAAAAGCCACUUUGGAAGAUCUCGUCCAGGAUCCUGAGGACAGGAGACAAUCGGGCUCCAUAGUAGCCGCAAAGUUCCCUUACUUAUAUUAAUCUAUUGUCAUUCAUUCAUUUGAAUUACUGCCUUUUAAAUGCUGAGUCUCCUGUUAAUUAUAUGUGAACAUCGCCCCCCCGUCCCGCAUCAUGACAUCAUCAUGACAUCACUGUUACCGCUACCAAAGCCCCUGUCGGCUGCUUUGUUACAGCCGUGUGAACCCAAAGUAAAGAGACGCUGAAACGACAACCGGCGAUGUGUGAGAGUCGGACGUCAGCGCUGUAGCCGCUCCGUCAACCCUGGGAGUAAGGUGACGUGGGCGUGAAUGUUACCGGUUUGUCCCGCGCUACGCACAUCAACACACACAGCCCUCAUCUGCUGCCACACAGCAGACGGAAGACACAUCAGAUUUCAGUCAAAAGAGACGGAAACGAGAAGACGACAAAAGAAGCUCGGAGACGAUCGCACAGAAACAGGGAGGGAAAUAUCGACUGUGUCCCAACCGUCCCAAUGACAGCUCGUCUUCGUCCCUCCUCAUACACCCCCCCACACACACACAACGCCCUACGAGCGUUGGCCACGGGAGGGAUGGGGGGGGUCAGAGGGCAACGUGGACGUGACGUGAGGAAGAGACGAAGAGCGAGGGAGGCGUUGGAUGAUGAUGGAGGGGGGGGGGGCUGCGUGGGGCAGAUACCUGGUGAGUAACGGCGGCCUGAAGCUAAAUAACUCCUCGCUAGAACUACGCAGGAGGAUCCUCGCUGUGUGUUUGUGUUACAGGAGCAUAUACACAACACACUGUGUAUAUGCAGAGAGCACCAUGGAGAGGUUAAGUGAAGAAGAGGAGGAUGCUAAACAACUGUGAGGAGAUGAAGAGGCAUCCAAAGGAGGGGGGGGGGGGGUCAAAGCAUCCAACAAACAUGGAGACAGGAAGCAGAAAGAGCGCAGCAAUCAAUGAGAAGAAGGGGGAGAAGGCGGGACCAGGAGACCAGUGGAGGAGAGUGAAGGUCCACCUGAAGGUCUCGAUGUGUCCGUCCUGAGCUCUGAGUCACACGACUCAGCAGCAGGUCUGAGCGUCACCGGUUCAACGGGCGGCAGCCCAAAUACACAAAUACUAAUAACAAACAGCACGGAUACGCCGUCGGCGCGCCGUUGUCAUAGAAACAGGAAGUGACGGGAGCUCCCGGCGCCCUGCGGCCGCUCCUCCGCCCGUAGACCUUCCUUCGCUGAGCCAGGAAGUCAAAGAAAGGAGGCCAGGAAGAAGGUGAGAAGAGGUGGGAAGCCCGUUGGGGGGGCGGGGGGCAAUUAGUAAGGAAGGGAAGUGACUCUCUCCCUCGGGUUGGUUGAACGUUGGAUGUGAGGCUCUGUGUUCUGUUAAAUAGGCGACGCCGCGCAAAGAGAGCAGUGUAGAUGAACGCACACAAACCCACUCACAUGCAGCACUGUGAUCGGCUCUGUCGAGACUUUGCACCCCCAACGCUCACAUGUCGGCAACAUGCAACGCACACAAACCCCGGUUUUACGUAAGUGUGUCGCACACCCACUCGCUGGGAGUUGACGCCGUGCAGAGCAUGGAGGUGAAGGGGGGGGGGUUCAUUUCCUCUCGUUUUCAACCAGCGGGGCUGAAUGCCGAUGUCGAUGCUGAAUGCGUGGAACGAGAACAACAUCAACGCGAGAAACAACAUCCAGCUGCAUCGCUGGAACUGGAAUCGGGAGGCGUAAUGAAGUGAGAGAGGCAGAUGUAACCAGCAGGCUGUGGCUCCAGUGCGUUGAAGCUGCAUUCUCUGUACCGUCCACUAGGGGGCGACUCCUCCGCUCCGACACAGGCCUGUAAAACAACAUGGCCACGGCCGUAACACCAAGAGGCCGAUGGAGGACUGUUGCAAUUCACCCAACUGAAGGGCACAGGUUGCAAAAGUCCUACUUAUUCAUUCUAAGUGUAGCUCCACUGGUGUGGAGGCAGAUUUCACGGCCUCGCAGCAGGAAGCUUCUUCCUCGUGUGCAUUUGUUCGUGUUUUCCUUUUGGAAUUAAGAGGUUUCCUGGGCGGCGGAAGUGUUGGUUUCCAUUAACUGUCUGGGGCCUUUAAAAUCGCCUUGAGGCGUCAAACCAGCGUGUUUGAUGCAGGCGGGUCGCAGGCUGCCGGAGCGCCGUCUGGCACUCACGGCGCUCUCUUCAGCUUGAUGGCGGUUGCGUCAUCCGCUCUGUGUCGCGUCUCCUUCCAGCUGCAGCCGAGCCUCCACCGCUGACUGAGGGAAGUCAUUUAGCAGUAUAGUGCUGUAGUAUUACUGUGCAAACUCUACAAUGUCAAAUAUUUUUCACUACACAUUUGCUGUAAAUUACUGUGACUCGGUAGAAGCUUAAUACUACGGUAAUACUUAAAAAGCAUGAAAUACUUUUUCUGUGAGGAGUCACUCAAAAUAGAUUUUCUAAAUGCUUCUUGACAUAGAAUGUAACUUAGACGUCACAUGACAUCGCGUCCGGCAGCUUUAUAUCUCUUUUUAUCGGACACGUCUGAGUGAGGAGAUGUAAUGACAGACUGACAGACUUCCGUUACGUCCAGUAAGUAGUUGAAUUAAAUAGUAAUAAUUCUUCCUUUGCCCCAAACUAACUGGAUGUAAUAAUCAUUUAAGCUCACGGUUCAUAUCCGACCUUUAGAGGUCAUCAGCCCUCCAUCAUCAGUCCUUCUCUAGAAGUCAUCAGUCCUUCUCUAGAGGUCAUCAGUCCUCCUGUAGAGGUCAUCAGCCCUUCUCCAGAUGUCAUCAGCCCUUCUCUAGAGGUCAUCAGUCCUUCUCCAGAUGUCAUCAGCCCUUCUCCAGAUGUAAUCAGCCCUUCUCUAGAGGUCAUCAGUCCUUCUCCAGAUGUCAUCAGCCCUUCUUUAGAGGUCAUCAGUCCUUCUCCAGAUGUCAUCAGUCCUUCUCUAGGGGUCAUCAGUCCUUCUCUAGAGGUCAUCAGACCUCCUGUAGAGGUUAUCCGGAGUCAGUGAUAGACUCCCUGCUGUGAGUCAUUCUUUGUAAAAAGGUUCAGAGCUUUACAGAGACAUGAAUCUGAAAAGCCCGGCGACAAACUGAAUGAACAGAGAAAAGCCUGAGGCAAUAAAGAGACUAAGGAGGAACAGAAGGAACCGAUAAGAGACACUGGAGAGUACGACAAAUAUCAGGUUUGAUUUGUAGUUCAGUGCCUAAUAUCAGCUUCAAUCUUCCAUCUGUAACGAGUGAAUAUCCUCUUUGGCCACAGGUUGAGAAUAAAGCCUUGGGAUGAAUUCAGGUAUCAGUGAUGAUACCAAUGUUCUCGAGGUGGAGAUUCCUUUUAGCUCCGGCUUUGGUCCCCACCGACUCCCAGCGACCGCGAGCAGAAGCCUGCGAAGCUCAGCCGAGUCGAGAGCAGCUGCAGAUUUGGUGAUCAAUUAUUUUCAGACAUUUUGUAGAUCGUUAUUAAGUGUAAGUAGUGCGAGUAGUGAGCCAUUACGCUCAAUUUGAUUUCUGAUCCGCUCCCUGGCCGAGUUCAUCUGUGGCCCUUUGUCUGUUUCUCUUUCAUUUACUCGCCCUUCAGAAGAACCGCCUUCUUUUUGCAACCGUCCACCUAAAAAGUGAGUUACUACAAGUCAUCCAUCCCCAAAAUGGGUCUCAAUCUUUCGUUUUGAUGCUUCAGGGCGGGGCUACACGAUGAUUGACAGGUCGACAACACAGACGUACAUAAUUCUCAAUCCUUAAAUGGUGACGUCCUCCUCACUUUUAUAAGAAAAGCAUCACGGACAAAUCAUUUAGGUGAAGAGUGAGAACUCCAGCGCGUGUUUAUUUACUGAAAACUACAGUAUUUCAGAUGGAAUUCAUCUGUAACUUGAUCACAACACGGUUUCCAGCUGUGAUGUAAUCACGCUGCUUCGCUUCAUCAGAACUCGACAACGGGAGAGAAAACUCCCUAAAUGGCAACUGGAGUAUUGUUUGUACAGUCGACAAUAAUACAUGCGAGUACUUGUUUAUGCCUUUAAUCACAUUUAUUAAAUCAUCUCCGUGGCUGAUUAUUUUUAGAGCAGUUUCUGGCGACGUUUGGUUCCUUUUGGACGACGCUGGAGAUAAAAUGUAGUUUCAUUUGCCAGCGCGCGAUGAGAGGAGGUGGAGGGAAGGAACAGAUGGAGGUUACUGGAAGAAGAAACCAACAAUAAUGUUUACAAAAGAGAAGGAAGCGAAACACCGGACGGAAUCUGCUCCGCGGCGUAACUUCUCUCCUGAAACCGUCGUUUAUUGAUGAGGCUUUGGGGACGUUUGUCAGAAGGCGAAUCAGCCGACGAGAGAUGAGAUGAGAUGAGAUGAGAUGAGAUGCGAUGUCCCCCCCUUGGAUACAUGGAGACAUGUGGAGGUUUUAUGUAUUCAACUUUUAGAUCCCCGAUCAGGUCUUUUCGCUAUGAAUUGCUGAUCAAUAUUGACGGAUACAGAUCUGUGGUUUCUUUAUAGCAGCUGGUCUACGAGGGUCAACAAUGUUCAUUUUCACCGUCGCCGAAGUCAAACUUCCUUCCUGCCUUCAAAAGAAACACACAAUUCAAAAGAUAAUGAAAUAAAUAACUGUUUCUUGAGUGAAACGAAUCGUUUCUUCAUAACGUGUCAUGAGCUGCGUUCACGCCGUUAAACCACACGGCGCAGAAUAAACACCGACAUUCACGGAACCGUCGUUCCGUCACGCCGACUGGGCUUCAGGGGAAGAAAGUCCUAUUUCCCUUUGUGGCCGCGCUCGUGAAAGCGCCCGCCGGGACGGGCCGCGCAGCCCCGCCGUCCCGUUUCUAGACCACGGCGGUGGUCUUCCAGCCGCUGCAGGGGGACGGUUCCUCUGACCGGACAGCUUCGUGGUCCAGGAGCAGAAGUGACCGGGAACAAAAUAGACUAUGAGGGACACAAAUGACACGAAACCGAUAAAAACAACAACGCAAAAUGAAACCGAAGCUUCAGGCGGUGAGACUCCAACAAGCGGAGUGUCUCUACUGUCCGGUGCCUCCUUCCCUUCGCCGCUGCCUCGUUUCCUCUGUCCUAGCUCGCUGCUUUGCUUCAAUUAUCAGCCGCCAGGUGUGGACACACACACACACACACACACACACAUUCCCUCAAACUGAAGUGGGAGCGGAAAACAAUGGCGGCGAUAUUGCAGGCUGGUGGCGAACGAGAACGUGGGCGAGCGAGGAUUAAUUACAGAUAUGAGAGAGAGAACAUGUGAGAGGAUGGGGGGGGGUGGGGGGGGAUGUGAUAUUUGGGAAGCCGCCUGCGUGAUGGUCACUCAGAGGACGCAGUCGUGCUGAUUAAACGUGAACAACACAACGAGUCGACGGCUGGAAGUGGUUCUUCAAGUUAAAUUCUCAUUUCAGACUCUAACAGGAGAAGAUUCAUCUAGAAAAGGACCUGCAGAUGAAAGUCUCACAUGAAGACAGGUUAGAAAUCCCUAAACAAAAGCGUGUGGCCUCAAUGUUUAGUUUAAGUCCUCUUCAACACAGUGGAACGCCCAUUUUAGUGGAUUUAAUGUGCUUUGGGGGCGGGGCUACAGCGUGAUUGACAGGUCUCUACUCCAUCAGGAAAAGUCACACUAGCCAAAUGUGUCGAAGAGAUGGAAAUCAAUGAAGAUCCACCAGGUCACUUCUGUGAGUCGCCGAGACGUUGAGUUGUGUUUGGUUUUCGUUGCGUUGCGUCGUGUUUUUGUCGCGUUGUGUUACAGUUGCGUUGCAUCAGAUGGAAGAAAACCUCUACGACUACGCAGUGAGGCAACAUGUGUGAAUGCAUGAGACACGUCAUUGACCAGUGAUCCACACACACACACACACACAAUCAAUAGAGCUGAUUAAGCAGCUGGGCAGAGACAAAUAGUCCAUUACGUGUGUGUGUGUGUGUGUGUGUGUGUGUGUUUAUCGUUUGUUUGUCAUUGUUUACAUGUUACAUGCGUGUGUGUGUGUGUGCCGGGGGCCUCGGUUCGGAGGACGUGUUGAUCCCAGCGAGUCUCGCGUGGACGAGAGGAAGAAACUCACAGUCCAGAGACAACGACGCAAGAAAGGUGGAAAAACUAAAAGCUUUAUUUUGUCUGCUGCGCCUGAAUAAAUCAUCUGCUCGGAGUUCACCAAUGACUGAUGAAUUAGUAACUCAGCGCCCACGUGACCUUUAGCCUGCCGGGGUUUAGGAAGACUUCCUCGGUGGACUCUUCAGAUGCUGUUAGUCAUCAUUAGUAUUACUUGAGCUGACUAAACUGGACCAUGGCACAUCAUUUGGGGAUUUUAUUACUAAAUAAAAGUUUAUUUUAUCGUUUACACACCCUCCAUCUCAACAUAUCGUUCUUCUGGCACCAUUUGCCAUAAAAAUCCAUCUAAAAGAAGCAGAAAUCUGUGAACGAUCCGUCUCUUUUCUUACAGGUGGUCUUUGCAAUGCUGGCAAAUGGAAGCGUCCGGUCUCCACAUCCCUUGUAUUUGGAACUGAUGUUGGAUGAGAGAAGACGGAGCUGAACUCCUGUUCGUCGUGGAGUCAGCAGAUAGUGGCUGUAGUCUUGGAGGUUGACCCCUCCCUGCACGAGCUUGAAGAAGCCCCCCGUCACACUUCCUGACUCCCCUCAGCAGCUCAGCGCCUCUGAGGCCCUCAAACACCUGCUUUAAUACGCUUGUGUAACAGCGCUAAAGGCGACGUUUCCACACACACACACAAAUAUAAGAAACGGGAAUAAAACUCAAUUCUGGAGAAGAAAGACUCAAGUCGUCUCUUAUAGUGCAGAAGGUACCUCGGUACAGCAGAAGAUACCGAGAAGCUCACGCGAACGACAGGAGAUCCUUUGAUUCUCUUCGUCUUGUCUUCAUUUUACACAGCACAGCGUUAACUAAAUAUAGAAAUGAUGUCACACGGUAGAUAAACUAUAUGCUCUCGUGCCGAACGCGGCUCUUCUGUGUCAUGACGCCAGUAAAACCAGACAAACCCGGAGCAUCACGGGUUGACGUGGCAGAAGGACUCAAUUGCAGAUUUCAAUAACAAAAACGGCUUUAUUCCACAAAAUCAAAAGGCCUGGGGGGCAAAACUCACCACACGACACUCGACAUAUGAAGCUCAAUAAACCCACCUGGCCUAAAUACACUGGGACUGUGUGGAAACAAUCGGGGACACGGCAGAUAAUCCCAGGGGACGACGCAGGAAGUGAAGCUCACCCAGGUACGACGACGCAGGGCUACUGAACUACAAAAACACUUCAUAUAUUGUUCAUAGUUUGAAGUCAAAAAGUUUGAAGCUGUAUUUUGAAACCAAGAGUGUUUAUGUAUUCAUUUAUAUUUACAGUAUUGUUUCAAUAGUUAAUAUAUUGCUCAAUUCAAAGAAAGAAAUUACCUUUGCCAAUAAAAGAAAACCUUUCCUUAAUGUCGUCAUUGGUUGAUUCUGUGUCUUU